This 495-nucleotide ribosomal RNA is filed under the name uncultured bacterium. RNAcentral's name for it is "partial 16S ribosomal RNA". It matches the Rfam family "Bacterial small subunit ribosomal RNA", at positions 29 to 506 of the family's 1533-position model. The record is from RNAcentral.
AUGAACGCUGGCGGCGUGCCUAAUACAUGCAGGUCGAGCGCACAGACGAGGAGCUUGCUCCUCUGACGUUAGCGGCGGACGGGUGAGUAACACGUGGAUAACCUACCUAUAAGACUGGGAUAACUUCGGGAAACCGGAGCUAAUACCGGAUAAUAUAUUGAACCGCAUGGUUCAAUAGUGAAAGACGGUUUUGCUGUCACUUAUAGAUGGAUCCGCGCCGCAUUAGCUAGUUGGUAAGGUAACGGCUUACCAAGGCAACGAUGCGUAGCCGACCUGAGAGGGUGAUCGGCCACACUGGAACUGAGACACGGUCCAGACUCCUACGGGAGGCAGCAGUAGGGAAUCUUCCGCAAUGGGCGAAAGCUUGACGGAGCAACGCCGCGUGAGUGAUGAAGGUCUUCGGAUCGUAAAACUCUGUUAUUAGGGAAGAACAAAUGUGUAAGUAACUAUGCACGUCUUGACGGUACCUAAUCAGAAAGCCACGGCUAACUACGU